Molecule: long non-coding RNA, 1123 nt
Filed under: Sus scrofa (pig)
Lineage: Eukaryota; Metazoa; Chordata; Mammalia; Artiodactyla; Suidae
Description: lncRNA (ENSSSCG00005013998.1)
Source: RNAcentral
AUGAUUUUUCAGUACUUUACGUCUAUCUAAGCAAGGAGAAAGAAAAGAAAGGAUUAAUAGACACUGAAUCUUAAAAAAAAAAAAAAAAAACAAAAACCCAUGAGUCUUCCUAUUCUUGUGUAUCUCUGGGUCUUCUAUAAGUUCUGAGAAGAUAAAGCCUACAGAGCUAGAGAUUUAAGCGGUUGGUUUUAAAACUUCAUCUUUUUCACUGGCAUGAAGUUUAACUUGUCCUCUGAGAUUGAAACAGUUAACAGGAGGGAUCAUGAUGGAGCUAGUUCUGCAUGUAUUUUCUGGUUACUGUUAGUUGACUGUUGGAAGUGGACCUAGAUUUGUUCAGGAUAUGAAGUAGGCAUGAUUCAUCCAGUUAUUUUGAAAGGGUUGUCUGUCCCAGUUCCGGGAGAGAUGCUGUUGUUUGCCUGCCUCGCUAAGGAGGAAGGCAGACGUGAAGCGGAUUGCAUGACACCCUGAUUACUGGUCUUAGAUAAGGAGUUGAAGCUGCAGUGUCAACCUAAGGGCAUCCGAGCAAAAGCUGUGGGGAAUGGGAUUUGGAAAUACCAGGAAGCAAACUCCUUGUCUGAAGUCCGUUCAACUCUGGGUUCCUCUAGGGCUGACACGGCAAUGUUUGUGUAAAGAGUGAAAAGAGCCACCAGUCACAUGAAUGUUUGCUUUCAGCAAUGAUGAGUAGGACCAACACCAAGGCUGUUAUCAUCUCAAACAAGUAUUUCUACGGGAAAUACAAAGCAAUGGCAAAGUUACAUGAAUUUUGGAGCACAAAAAUAUUGCAAAAUUGGAAGAAAGCAGGUAAAACCAUUUCCAUUAAAUUGUACUGCUUUGGGUUAAAGAUUUUAUCAAAGUUAGAUAUAAGGGUAAUGUUAUUAAACAGAGAAACAAGAAUUAAAGCCCCAACCCCUAGCCUGGGAACCUCCAUGUGCCACGGGAGCAGCCCUAGAAAAGGCAAAAAGACCCCCCCAAAAAAGAAUUAAAACCCUAAAUUAUGCCAUUUCACAUGGGGCAGCAUCAGGUUUUCCCCCUGAGGGGAAGGACUGCUUUAUACACAGGAUAGUCAUUCAGGAAGAUGAGUUGUAAUCAGAAGUUGUGAUGUACAUUCUCCUAAGAAAAGGUG